RNAcentral lists this ribosomal RNA (398 nucleotides) under uncultured bacterium. RNAcentral describes it as "bacterial SSU rRNA". It matches the Rfam family "Bacterial small subunit ribosomal RNA", at positions 362 to 777 of the family's 1533-position model. The record is from RNAcentral.
UAUUGCACAAUGGGGGGAACCCUGAUGCAGCGACGCCGCGUGAGUGAAGAAGUAAUUCGUUACGUAAAGCUCUAUCAGCAGGAAAGAAAAUGACGGUACCUGACUAAGAAGCCCCGGCUAACUACGUGCCAGCAGCCGCGGUAAUACGUAGGGGGCAAGCGUUAUCCGGAUUUACUGGGUGUAAGGGGAGCGUAGACGGCUAUGCAAGUCUGGAGUGAAAGCCAGCAGCUUAACUGGGGGACUGCUUUGGAAACUGUAAAGCUGGAGUGCAGGAGGGGUGGGUGGAAUUCCUAGUGUAGCGGUGAAAUGCGUAGAUAUUAGGAGGAACACCGGUGGCGAAGGCGGCCCACUGGACUGUAACUGACGUUGAGGCUCGAAAGCGUGGGGAGCGAACCGGA